AGAAUUGGAUUCUUGUGUUGACUAUUAAGUCAAUUCCCAUUAUCGUCGCUUUUCUGUGUUUUUUCUUUUCGUGAAGUCCAAGCUUCUUUCAAGCAAUCGCCAGCUCUUCCGAGGAACAAUCUCUCUCUCUCUUUCCUCUCUGUAGCGGCUGUUAUUAUUGAAGUCAAAGCUUUUUUCCAUUGAACAUUCACUCUCUCUAUCUCUUCUCUGAAAAAAAUUACUCAAUGGAAUGGAAUAAUCGCAGUCAUCUAAUUUCACAUUUAAUGGUCAAUAUUAAUGUGGUCAUCUUGUAUCACAAAUAAAUGGUCUCAUUCCAUACUUUGCCCUCUCUCUAAUUUUAUAGAUCCGUCUCUCUCUGUCUCUUGUUUGACCAGAGUGUUGAAGUUCUCUUUGCCGGGGUGUUUGUAAACUCGGCUGUUUUUAUUCGUAGCCGGCCAGUUAAAUUGGAAUCGGGUACUGGUUGAUCCAGUUUUGGUGGUUCGAUCAGAGGUAUUUUUAAAAAAAAAAUAAAAAAAUUUAAAUAAAUAAGGGAUUUGUUUGUAAUAUAUCUUUUAUUUAUUUAUCAUUUUGGCAAAAGAAAGUGUUUUGGUCAUGAAUACUUAUUUUUUACAUUUUUCCAUUUUUAAAAAAAUUACAAAAACACCUUUGAGCACAAAUCCAUUUUUUUAAAUUCAUUUUUUUCAUUAUUUUUCAAAUUUGUUUUGUUUAUUCAUGUUUUAAAUAUAUUUUUCAUAUUUUUUAAAAAAAUUUCAAUUUUUUAUUUUUUAACACUUUUUAGAUCGACUUUGGACUUUUUCCCUGUUAGGCUAGUUGACCGGCCUGGCCGGUUUGAUUUUUCGAAGACCGCUCUCUACCUCUUUGGGCUUCUCGGGAUGACAAAAGGCACUCGUGGAAUAAACGCAUAUACCGUUUGUUAUCCAGGUGGCAAGGUUCUUUUGAAAGCUUCUUCGCUAUUAUCAUUAUUAUUUUUCAAAAAAAUAAAAAAGGAAAAAUUGCAUAUCAGAAGGGAUAUUUGAUUAAAAGUUUGAAACUAAUUUUAAAAUUCAAGUCUUUUAUGCGCUAUUGUUUAUUCAAGAGCAUGUGAUACUGUGCUCCUUUUAAAAAUUAAAGUUUUUUUAUGAAGUCAUGCGCUAUUAGACAUUCCAAGAGCAUGUAUACCAUGCGCAUGGUCUACUUGUACUUUCUCAGUCAGAAGACCCACUUGAGAUAAUUUUUUUCAAUCUCAAAUUUUGACAACAGCUUAAGAAUUAUUAGAUAAUUAUUUUAAAAAAAAUUUAAAAUUUGAAUUUUUUAAAACUUAGAUAUCACCAUCUAAAAUUCGGAUGGUCUUUAUUCAAGCUCACAACAUUAAUUUUUUCGAGUGAACAAAGGAUACAAUUAAGAUUUUUUUUUUUUCAUUGAGGUUAAUCCAUGAAUUGAAGGAGUUGCAGCCCCAAAAUUUGGGAUCCUAAAAACAAUUCGAAGUGGGGUUUUACUCGAGGAAGUAAAUAGAUAUUUUACUUUUAUUGGACUUUGGCUUUAUUUAAAAAAUCUUCUAUGGAAACUUGGGUGUCUUGAAACCAAUGUUUGUAAAAUCAAAUCGGAACGGUUAACCGGACAUGAGCAGGGAAGCGAUUUAACCGGCCUAACCGGUAAACUGGCCGAUUCAACCACUCUAACCGGGCAAGUUCCAAAUGAUUAAAAAAGUGUUGAAAAUAAUAAAAAAUAUAAAAAAACUAUUAAAAUAUGAAAAGCAUAUAAAAAAUGUGAUUAAAACAAAAUACACUCAAAUGAAGUUGAAAAUUAAUGAAAAAAAUGGAUUUUAACGAAUCGAUUUGUGCCUGGGGGUAUUUUUAAUUUUUUUUAAAAAAGAUGGGAAAAUAUAAAAGUAAAUAUCAAUGACCAAAAAAAUUUUAAUCUUUACCAUAAUGUAAAAAAUAUUAAAAUAGUGUUAAAAAAAUCGACUUGACCAACUCUUUUGUUAAAAGAAAAUAAAGAAAAACUUAAGGUACAUAUAAUAUAAACUAUGCUAAUGUAUUUGAUAUAAAUUUGAAGUAGUGUUUUCUUUUAAAAUUUAAAAUAUCGGUUGAUCACCAAAACCGCCUAUAAUCGGACCAACCGGUUAGCGGUUAGAUCGGCCGGUUUUGCGAACAGUACUUGAAACCUAUACUUACAAAUAGACUUAAAAUUUGAAUGAGCAUUGAAUUCUCGUACACCACCUUUACAACUCCCAGCCAUCAGAUGUUAACAAGGACGGCUUAGGUGAGUCCCUGAAAUAAAAUUUAAAAAAGUUUAAAAGGAUGAAUGAUACACCGCAGCGGCGAUGGGUUUUGAGGGCCACUCCACGCGUCCACUGAUCACAUCGAAGGGUUGAGAUGAUGUCAAGAAACUCAUUGUGCUCAUAACAAGUGAACCCACAUAUUUAUAUUCACAUAAAAAAUAUAUCACAUACAUAUUUCAAAGACCCCAGAAAUAUGGAGAAAAAAAGAAAAGAGGCUUCAUGCAUUGGAAAUUUAAUAUUAGAAAUAUGUUAAAUUUACGAUUACACUGAAUUUAUGGCACAAUGGAGAAUGAGGAAGCUAAUGGACUUCUUGAGCAAAGAGGAAAUGGAAAUUCAUCAAAAAAAAAUUAAAACAAUUUUACAGCAGAAACAAUUAAUCUCACCUAAGCUUAGCCCCUACCCCCACUGUAUUCAGCGUAUCAGAAAGUCAAAGUGGAGAGAGAAAGAAGAAAUGUCUUAACUUCUAGAGAGAGAGAGAGGGGAGAUGGUUUGCAAUCACCCCAUCUAGAGAGAGAAAGAGUUGGGGGGAGAAAGCAGAGGCAAUUCAGAGGAGGCUCUGUUUUGUGUGGUCCUCAUUAGAGAGAGAAGGUGGGGGUGGGGGUGGAGCUGUAGGGGGUUUCUUGAGAAAGAAGAAAAGAGAGGAGAGAGGAGAGAGAAGCAUCUUCAAACUCCUUUUAAACACCUCACCUCUCUUUGGAAUGAGGCGUGGAGGCGUUUUGCUCUUCUUCUUCUCCUUCACUGUAAUAAAUUUGGAAUUUGGGUUAAAGGGAGGAGCCAUCUGAGAAGC
Molecule: long non-coding RNA, 3047 nt
Filed under: Amborella trichopoda
Lineage: Eukaryota; Viridiplantae; Streptophyta; Magnoliopsida; Amborellales; Amborellaceae
Description: long non-coding RNA (ATRI_LNC003790)
Source: RNAcentral